This 2385-nucleotide long non-coding RNA is filed under the name Solanum tuberosum (potato). Its description in RNAcentral is "long non-coding RNA (STUB_LNC009004)". The record is from RNAcentral. Lineage: Eukaryota; Viridiplantae; Streptophyta; Magnoliopsida; Solanales; Solanaceae.
CAACUUUACAUGGAAACCUCCUUGCUCAAGGGAGUAAAACCACAACCUGUCUCACAGGAAUUUUCAAACUGCAUUCACUAAUCUUCUCCAAGCAAAAGUAAAAUACAGUUUACAACAUGAAAUUAACCUUCUAAUCUCCAUACUAAGUAAUAACACCCAUUACUUAAACGAGCCUAAGAAGAUACAACACUGUCCACUAUACUAAUCCAGACUGAUUAAUAUAGACUUUGGUGUAAGACACUAAGUUACUCACAACUAGGUUCUUACAAUGAUUCACAAAAGCUUGAAAUGUUUCUAACACAAACGAAACGAUUCCUACAAUAUAAACACGAUUACAAGCUAUUCAAAUAACAGUUGGUACAUGAAGCAAUGAAGCACUCUAUCAGGUCCCUGCUGUUUUUCAAGCUUGAAACUCUCUCUUUUGAAUGAAUGAGUAAUCUUGUUGUUUGUUUCGGAAUAUAUUAGUCAUGAAGAGUUAUUAUCCAAUGUACAAACAACCUCGUCGCUUCUGAUUGGUGUAGUACACUGCAGCUUCACCAACUUUCUGACGCAGACAGCUUUACCAGUUGUACAACAUAUGACACUGGACGAGUAUACUUUGCAGAGGACCAGGUCCCUGCACUUGUGAGGAGAUCAUCAAAACAUCUAGGAGCGUUGACACUUAUCACAUAUCCAAUUUGAAAAAGAAAGGACUAAUUUGAAUCUCAUUAAACAAAUGAGUUGAGUUAAUAUCUUAAAAGGUCACUCAACUAUGAGAAAUUAUCUAAGAAUUAAAGUCAUUGAAUUUUGUUUUGUAUUAAUAAAAUCACCCAACUUAAAAAAUUUAUCUUCAAAUAUCACUCAACUAAAUUUAUCAUUAAAACAAAUUUAGCAUGACAAUUUUUUUUUCUUAUGCCAUUUAAUCAUGAACCCACCAAAAAAUAUAUUAUGACAUAAUAGAUGUUUGAAAUAACCACAAAAAAUUAUAAAAAUAAUAUCUAUAUUUUGCUAUGAUUUCUAAUCUUCUUCUUCUGAACCUCAACAACCUCUCUUAGAAGUACAAGAUUGUCCAGCAGUUUUAAUACCUUUAAUUACAACUUUGUCAACACCUUGAGCAGCCAGUACAUUAGUUUUAAUAGUUAUUACUGGUUCUGCAUUUAGUUCCUUGUGAACAAAAAAAAUAAAGAUCUUGGCAGAGAAAACGUUCAAAUUGUAUUACUUUUAAAGUAAAAUCAUUAGUUGAGUUAUGGUCGAUUGAUAUGCCAAAUUUAAAUUUUGGAGAUUAUCGUUUCACGUAUCCAGGUAAUAAUCUCAGUCAUUCGAAGCUUCAUCAGUUGGAAUAUAAUUUAUUUUGUCAUAUCAAAUUUAUUUUAAUGAUUAAUAUAGUUGAGUGAUUUUUGAAGAUAAAAGCCUUAAGUUGAGUGUUUUUAUUGAUACAUAACAUAGUUCAAUGACUUUUCUAGAUAAUUUUAUAUAGUUGAUUGACCUUUUAAGAUAUUAACUCUCAAACAAAUAGAUGAAUAGGAACAGAGCAAAAAAGGAAACACCUCUAGAAAAAAAUUAAAGAACAGGAAAAAACAAAAACACUCAAUUUUUAUAAUUUAGCUGUUUGACAUGGAGUAGUGUGUGGAUUUUUAUGCCACAAAGAUAAUAUGUCACAAAUUAAAACAAAAUGAGUGGCUUAUUUAAUUUAACCCCAUUCAAAUUGCAGAAAUAUGAUAUGUAUACUUUUCUUGAAUAGGAAUAGCGUGCAUGAUAUAUUGAUAUCAAGAAUCAGAACAUCAUGAGAUGACAAAGAGCAAGCUCUUACUCAAUGCAACAUCACGGCCAUUCAAGGUUUUCUCCACGGAGUUUGUGAAGUGAGAUUGAGAUUUCUCAAAGUCGGUGUAAUGUGAAUCCUGCAAGCUUUUAAUCAAGUGCCGAAUGUAGACAUGAGGUCACAAAUUCUCUUGAUUUGUAUAGUGAAUUUUCUUCUCUUUUUGAUUUUCAUUCUCAAGUUUUCUUUUUAAAAUUUGUAAUAAUUCACUUAAAAGUUCUCAUUACAAGAAUUGUAGAGAAAGACAAAGAAAAUAAGAAACAAAAGAAUCUGAGCAAUAAAUAGAAGGAGCAUACCUGAAGAGACGAAGAUAAGUGAGAGAGUAAUUUUUAGAAUGAAUAUAGUGUGAGAGAGAACUUUUGUGCAAUUAAUUGAAGGAGAUAAUUCUGGGCAAUUUCUAGAAUAAAGAUAGUGGGAAGAUAAUUAUAGAAUUACCUAUGCUGGUGUGUGGUACCCACUUGGAGCUAGCAAUCAGAUUCCAAUUGACACGUGUACAACACUUUAAAGUUCAACUAAAAUAGCUUGUUGUUCAAUUUUUACUGCGGUGGUCGUCAAUGUGAUGGCUUUUCUAUAUAGUAGACUAGAUAUGG